CCUACGGGGGGCUGCAGUGAGGAAUAUUGGUCAAUGGGCGAGAGCCUGAACCAGCCAAGUCGCGUGAAGGAUGAAGGAUCUAUGGUUUGUAAACUUCUUUCAUAUGGGAAUAAAGUGAGGCACGUGUUCCUUUUUGUAUGUACUAUAUGAAUAAGCAUCGGCCAACUCCGUGCCAGCAGCCGCGGUAAUACGGAGGAUCCGAGCGUUAUCCGGAUUUAUUGGGUUUAAAGGGUGCGUAGGUGGUUAUUUAAGUCAGCGGUGAAAGUUUGUGGCUCAACCAUAAAAUUGCCGUUGAUACUGGUAGACUUGAGUAUAUUUGAGGUAGGCGGAAUGCGUGGUGUAGCGGUGAAAUGCUUAGAUAUCACGCAGAACUCCGAUUGCGAAGGCAGCUUACGAAACUGUAACUGACACUGAUGCACGAAAGCGUGGGGAUCAAACAGGAUUAGAUACCCUUGUAGUC
This 460-nucleotide ribosomal RNA is filed under the name uncultured bacterium. Its description in RNAcentral is "partial 16S ribosomal RNA". It matches the Rfam family "Bacterial small subunit ribosomal RNA", at positions 338 to 795 of the family's 1533-position model. The record is from RNAcentral.